RNAcentral lists this long non-coding RNA (4822 nucleotides) under Brassica rapa (field mustard). RNAcentral describes it as "long non-coding RNA (BRAP_LNC006201)". The record is from RNAcentral. Lineage: Eukaryota; Viridiplantae; Streptophyta; Magnoliopsida; Brassicales; Brassicaceae.
UGUGCACUUGCAGAUCAAAUCAGACACUGACAGACACAGAGAACAUAUCCAUUUCCUAAUCAGUAAGGUGGAUGCUGCAACAUUUACAGACAUAUCAGAAGUGGAGACGUUUGUGAAAUGGAUAGACGACGAACUAUCUUCCUUGGUCGACGAAAGGGCAGUCCUAAAGCAUUUCCCUAAAUGGCCAGAACGUAAAGCAGAUUCACUAAGAGAAGCUGCUUGCAGCUACAGAGCGCUAAAGAGCCUUGAAACUGAGAUUUUGUCGUUCAAGGAAAAUCCAAAGGAACCUCUAAAGCAGGUCUUGCAAAAGAUUCAGUCGUUACAAGACAGGCGAGCAUGUAUAAAGAUUAGAGCUACUAGUAAACAACUUGAUCUAUUCAAUUACAAUGUCAUUAAAUGUUCAAACUUUCAGGUUAGAAGAAGCUGUUAACAGCACAGAGAGAACAAGAGACAGUACAGGGAAGAGAUACAAGGACUUUCAGAUACCGUGGGAGUGGAUGCUCGACGCAGGAUUGAUCGGACAGGUAGGUAACUGAUUAGCUGCGAUACACCAAUAAAAUCAAAUUAUGAUGGAAACUAUCAUAUAGGGAUGUAAAGAUACCUUAUAAUUUAUUCUAAGCAAACUAUAAGUUACAUCUUUUGUAAUGAAUCAGCCAUUUAACCAACUUCAAGAAAAGUAAAUGAAAUUUUACCUUAUUGCAGCUAAAAUACAGCUCGCUGAGGCUAGCUCAGGCGUACAUGAAGCGAAUAACAAAGGAGCUGGAAUCAAAUGGAGGAGGUAAAGAAGGAAAUCUAUUGCUUCAAGGGGUCAGAUUUGCCUACACAAUACACCAGGUACCAAAAAAAAAAAAGAGUCAUAAAGUAAUCUGCUUAAUAAAAGCCAUGUUCAUGUCUAUUCAGUUAUUUCCUCAAUAUUUCAGUUUGCUGGCGGUUUUGACGAAGAAGCAUUACGCAUAUUUAACGAGCUAAAGAAGAUGGCUACAAGUGAAUCCCAGAAGAUAAAUAAGUAACGGUUCACAACUUUAAAAAAACUCCGAGUCGAUUUUGAGUAUUAAAAGACGCAUGUUGACUGGUGCAGCAGUGAGACAGUAGGUAUAAGUGUAACCGAUAGAUCCGAUCCAGAAGCUCACCGCAAGCUCGAGAACCGGUAAAUCAAAGUCUAGAAGACGACCACGAAGGAAGAAAGAUCAUCCCGAAGAACAGAGUUUCAAUGGUGAAUGAUGAUGAACAUGAUGAUAGAGAGAGUUAGGGUUUAAGAAGAUUGUUUUAAUGUUUGAUUUAUUAUUCCCAAAUGGGUAAACGUUUACAUAUAGUGUUUACUAAACCAAAGCUAAACCAGAAAGCUAAACCAAAAUGCAUAAAUGAAAUAUCUAAACCGGAAUUAACCAUAAUUCCUGUCACAAUACUUCCUCCUUCAGAACAUCCUUGUCCUCAAGGAUGAUAAGAACUUGGUGCCGAAACCAUCAUAAUAUCUCUGUUGAUCUUGCUCUGCUAACAUCUCUGGUGGUCUUUGUGGAUGAAAUACUUCACCGACACAAACUUCAGCAAACCAAUGAUUAAAAUAGCCAAUAUUACCAGCCAUUGAAGUAAGCUCCAGCUUUUGUACCUCCCUGCAGUAUCUGCUUUGUUCCAACUUAAUCUUGAGAGCCUGUUGUUGUGUCUCAUUCCUGUCUCUCUCUUGUCUCUUAUCGUUGUACUUGAAUAUCCAAGCUUUUGACUGAAACAUCGCAAUAGUUCUUCGGACUUCAACGUGAGAUGAUACAACCUCUUCUCUUGCUUGGCCAGUGGUGCCACAACUUGAUACAUCCUCAUUUCUAGUACCAGCAAAUAAUGAUGUUAAGAUCUCAUCCCUUAGCUCUAGUUUUAACCCUUUGAGUUUCUUCUUUAUUUUCCUGAACUCUGGAGGCCGUGGCAAUGAUCCAUAGAACAACAGAAGUGACAUUAUGUAGAUACAUAUAAUUUGUAGCUUCAUGAUAUCUCUGUCUCCGUAACCUCUGAUCAGAUAAGAAAGCUUGAGUGUGGCUCCAUUUCCAUUGUACUUAUGUUUCUCAGUAACUAGGAAGGAAUCAUCAAAGCUCCAUGUGUUCGUAACUGGCGUCAUCUCCUUUGAUAUACAAAUGACAAUAUCCACGUGUGGCUGUGUCAACUUAGUGCAUCGCUGGCCUUGAAUACAACUUGGCGAGGUAACCCUUUCACCAAAAAUCAGCCAUCUUGAUGAAAAGAACCUUACUCUUUUCUGCCAUGUCCACAACCUUAGAAACCAGCCACUGCAAGCUUGACAAGUCUGUUCUGGAGGAUACCAUUUCCACUGCAAAAGGAACUCAAAGAAGCUACAGUGUCGGCUCUGUUUUGUUAAUAGACUCCAGACAGAAGCACUAAGAAAAUAUUCUUGCAUCAUGUGCCUUAACACCAACCCUUCAACCUUAACAAGAUCACAACUGUCACAGUAUUUAUUUCUCCACCACAUAUAGAAGGAGAGCAUUUGAACAUCCGGGUUGCUAAGCUCAGCUUCUGAUCAUGUUGUACUCGAACUUGUGACAGCUCUUUGUUGGAAUGAGCAAGUACACUCUUAAAGUUGUUAAGCAAAGGAUGACCCGAGUCUGUUGUAGCGCUAUCUGAGAAUGAAAGCUUUCUUGUUUCCUGUUUAUUCUGUUGAGACAAAAUUUGCAAAAAACACUGCUUCAGCAUAGUCUCACAGCUACAGUGUGCAUGAUUCUCUUGAUAAACUGGAUAUCCAGACUUAGUCUCCUGCUCCCGAACUGAAUAUGCAUUCAUGCAACAACUUGGGAAGAGCACAAUGUGAUCCGUAGUGAUUUCCAGGCAUGAAAACGAUUCCAAUAGCCUAGAUCUCCAUUUGUGCUUCAAGUGGAACUUUAUAUCAGCAAGAGUAAGCUGUCUCAAGCCUAAAACUAGCUGUGGCCUACUGCAAGGCAUAACUGGUUCCGGAACGUUCAGUAACGAGUUAACGUCUGACGCUGCCUUCUCCAAUGACCUGAACUUCUCUAGAUUUUUCAGUGAACUCUUCUCAUCAAGCUUUAUCAUCACUGAACAAACCAACUCUAUCAUGUGAAGCCAUCUCAUCAUGCUUAUAGAUGCAGAGCCUACAACUGUCAGACCACAUGAUUUCCUCAUCUCUUGUAUAACCAUAUCAUCAAAGCUAAUAUCAAACGGAGGCGUUAAGAUCGCAAGAGCAAACGUAGCUUUUAAUCCUCCACGCUCCCAUACACGUCUUGACUCUUUAACAAGCAGUGACAUCAGUUUCUGAUACUUACAAACAUUGGUUGCUAGCCUAAUCCAUGUUUCAAGACUAAGAUCAGAAAGUACCUUGAAGCUCUUCCUCUCAUUCACCGACUUAGUUUCUGCCGAUUGAAUGAACAUCUCCAAACCAUUUCUAAGAAGGUUUCGUGUGGGUAGGUACUUGUCUAAGCAGUUCCAUGAAGUUGGCUUGGCAAUAAGCCCACCUGGUUCCCAUACGUGAUCAGCCACUUGAGAUUUCUUGCCCACCAUGUGUUCGAUGUUAUUCCCAAGAGAGAAACUCAUGUUUUCUUCUGCAACACUUUUGUUUUGAGCUUCUUUUGGAUCUGCAGCAUAAACAACCUGUAAAUCUGAAGUCAAACCCUCCAACGAUUCAGAGAAAGAAUCUGGCUUCAUCACAGUUUCAAUAACAAGUUCAUCAGAGUCGGCCAAGCUUUCUUCAACCAUGGGUUUGUGGUCGCUUUCAGUCACGACAGGUUGGUCGUCACUUUCGAUCAUGAGAAUCUUCACCCCUUUGUGCUUCAAAUCAUGAUGACCAGGCGUGUCUCGUUCUUCACAAAAGAUACACAACCCAUUUGACAUCCUCUCUUCGAUUUCUUCACAGGAAUACUUCAGAAGGGUCUUGCUUUUUCUUGCUUUGGGUUUGUAGUUGAACGAUGGAGCCUCCAUCGCAGCUAUUGUCCGAGAACCGUAAGGCUCUGAUACCAUUGAGACAGGAAAACAAGUAAUGAUAGAUAAACCCAAUCCAGAGGUUCACCGAGAACCCGGAGAUCAGAGAAUCAAAGCCUAGAGGACGACCACGAAGGAAGAAAGAUCAUCCCGAAGAACAGAGUUUCAAUGGUGAAUGAUGAUGAACAUGAUGAUAGAGAGAGUUAGGGUUUAAGAAGAUUGUUUUAAUGUUUGAUUUAUUAUUCCCAAAUGGGUAAACGUUUACAUAUAGUGUUUACUAAACCAAAGCUAAACCAGAAAGCUAAACCAAAAUGCAUAAAUGAAAUAUCUAAACCGGAAUUAACCAUAAUUCCUGUCACAAGCAGCAAGUAAGAGAGUGUGAAGUAUGUUGUAAUCUAGCUUUUAAGAUUACGCAUUAGACAUGUAAAAGACUAGAGCCUAAAUUAUUGUUCUAUAAUUCAAUCAAGUAUAUUGUUCUUGCAUAGAUAUUAAUGUCUACGUGUCUCGUUCUUCAUCUCAACGCAACCAGCACGGAAACGUAUCACACACUCCAAUCUAGAGACUAAAACUGGAAUUGAAACUUGCAGAUGCCAAUACACAAAUACCACUAGAGUUAUAGAUGAGUGUAGGGAAGCAAACCUUCACUAAACGAUCUACUCUAGUUCAGCACUUUCUGUGCAUAUACACAUUAGAGUAACAAUCUAUCAUACGAAUCAUCCUAAUACACAAUCCAUCUUAAGUCCGAUACACAAUCCACCAAAUCUCGAACCUCCGGAACGAAAACUUCAGGAGACGACGGAAAAUAACAAAAAAAAACGAAGAAGCGAAUGCACAAACCUCGGUUAAAUUCUUCGAUUCUAGCUUUCCUCCGCAGUUUUUGAAGUUUGCUCGAGCUCGG